This 460-nucleotide ribosomal RNA is filed under the name uncultured bacterium. RNAcentral's name for it is "partial 16S ribosomal RNA". It matches the Rfam family "Bacterial small subunit ribosomal RNA", at positions 338 to 795 of the family's 1533-position model. The record is from RNAcentral.
CCUACGGGGGGCAGCAGUGAGGAAUAUUGGUCAAUGGCCGGAAGGCUGAACCAGCCAAGCCGCGUGAGGGAGGAAGGCGCAGAGCGUCGCAGACCUCUUUUGCCGGGGGACAAAAGGCCGGACUCGUCCGGUCCUGAGGGUACCCGGAGAAAAAGCAUCGGCUAACUCCGUGCCAGCAGCCGCGGUAAUACGGAGGAUGCGAGCGUUCUCCGGAUUCAUUGGGUUUAAAGGGGGCGCAGACGGCGAUGCAAGCCAGGAGUGAAAGCCCGGGGCCCAACCCCGGGACUGCUCUUGGAACUGCGUGGCUGGAGUGCAGGAGGGGCAGGCGGAAUUCCUGGUGUAGCGGGGAAAUGCGUAGAUAUCAGGAGGAACACCGGUGGCGAAGGCGGCCUGCUGGACUGCAACUGACGUUGAGGCCCGAAAGCGUGGGGAGCAAACAGGAUUAGAUACCCUUGUAGUC